This 473-nucleotide small RNA is filed under the name Histoplasma ohiense. RNAcentral describes it as "hypothetical lncRNA". The record is from RNAcentral. Lineage: Eukaryota; Fungi; Ascomycota; Eurotiomycetes; Onygenales; Ajellomycetaceae.
CUCUGAACUUGUGCUGAAUCAUGUGACUACAAGGUGCCACAGAUGGCACAGUCUUUUCUUCACUCUUUUCUUUAUUUUUCUUUUCAGAACACUUACUUUUUCUCUUUUCUUUUAUCUGUCUCAUCUGUUUUUCUUCUGUUGUUAGAAAUACAGACAGUUCUCAGAUCAACUGAGAGAGUUAUCUCUCUUCAUUCACUAUAAAGCCUUUCAGACACAGCAGCAGUGAUCUCCUCAGAAACCACACUAUAGCCUCACCAUGAAUGACCAUAUAUCAGAUCAGAAAUAAAUGCACAGCUCAGAAAAAUCCUUUUCAAUGAGCUGAAUCUUCUCAAGAGUUGCUAUCUGAAUUCUGUUUUCUCUCUCUCUGUGUAUAUAGAAAUCUCUCCAGUGUAGCACAUCUUCAUAUCCUUUGGAAGGCUUCUGAAACACAGACACUGCCUGUGUUUUCUCCGGGACAUUAAAUCAAUACAAAC